RNAcentral lists this ribosomal RNA (252 nucleotides) under uncultured bacterium. RNAcentral's name for it is "partial 16S ribosomal RNA". It matches the Rfam family "Bacterial small subunit ribosomal RNA", at positions 524 to 776 of the family's 1533-position model. The record is from RNAcentral.
UACGGAGGGAGCUAGCGUUGUUCGGAAUUACUGGGCGUAAAGCGCACGUAGGCGGCUUUUUAAGUCAGGGGUGAAAUCCCGGGGCUCAACCUCGGAACUGCCCUUGAAACUGGGAAGCUAGAAUCUUGGAGAGGCGAGUGGAAUUCCGAGUGUAGAGGUGAAAUUCGUAGAUAUUCGGAAGAACACCAGUGGCGAGGCGACUCGCUGGACAAGUAUUGACGCUGAGGUGCGACAGCGUGGGGAGCAAACAGG